This 482-nucleotide ribosomal RNA is filed under the name uncultured bacterium. RNAcentral's name for it is "bacterial SSU rRNA". It matches the Rfam family "Bacterial small subunit ribosomal RNA", at positions 36 to 507 of the family's 1533-position model. The record is from RNAcentral.
CUGGCGGCAUGCCUUACACAUGCAAGUCGAACGGCAGCAUGGAGGAGCUUGCUCCUCUGAUGGCGAGUGGCGAACGGGUGAGUAAAGCAUCGGAACGUACCGUGUAGUGGGGGAUAACGUAGCGAAAGUUACGCUAAUACCGCAUACGCACUGAGGUGGAAAGCAGGGGAUCGCAAGACCUUGCGCUAUACGAGCGGCCGAUGUCAGAUUAGCUAGUUGGUAGGGUAAAGGCCUACCAAGGCGACGAUCUGUAGCGGGUCUGAGAGGAUGAUCCGCCACACUGGGACUGAGACACGGCCCAGACUCCUACGGGAGGCAGCAGUGGGGAAUUUUGGACAAUGGGGGAAACCCUGAUCCAGCCAUGCCGCGUGAGUGAAGAAGGCCUUCGGGUUGUAAAGCUCUUUCGGCUGGGAAGAAAUCGCACAGGCUAAUACUCUGUGUGGAUGACGGUACCAGCACAAGAAGCACCGGCUAACUACGUG